RNAcentral lists this ribosomal RNA (281 nucleotides) under Listeria monocytogenes. Its description in RNAcentral is "partial 16S ribosomal RNA". It matches the Rfam family "Bacterial small subunit ribosomal RNA", at positions 1 to 270 of the family's 1533-position model. The record is from RNAcentral. Lineage: Bacteria; Bacillati; Bacillota; Bacilli; Caryophanales; Listeriaceae.
UUUAAAGAGAGUUUGAUCCUGGCUCAGGACGAACGCUGGCGGCGUGCCUAAUACAUGCAAGUCGAACGAACGGAGGAAGAGCUUGCUCUUCCAAAGUUAGUGGCGGACGGGUGAGUAACACGUGGGCAACCUGCCUGUAAGUUGGGGAUAACUCCGGGAAACCGGGGCUAAUACCGAAUGAUAGAAUGUGGCGCAUGCCACGCUUUUGAAAGAUGGUUUCGGCUAUCGCUUACAGAUGGGCCCGCGGUGCAUUAGCUAGUUGGUAGGGUAAUGGCCUACCA